RNAcentral lists this long non-coding RNA (2744 nucleotides) under Homo sapiens (human). Its description in RNAcentral is "non-protein coding TUG1:19". The stretch from base 1106 to 1342 matches the Rfam family "Taurine upregulated gene 1 conserved region 3". The record is from RNAcentral. Lineage: Eukaryota; Metazoa; Chordata; Mammalia; Primates; Hominidae.
UUACAUGUCUAGGCUGUGUGGUUGGUGGUGAAUAGGCUUCUUUUUACAUGGUGCUGCCAGCCCAGCUAAUUAAUGGUGCACGUGGACUUUUAGCAAGCGGGCUCACUGGAAGAGACUGAACCUGGCAUGGAAUUCCUGAAGAUGUUUGGGGUUUUUUUCUUUCUUAAUCGAAAGUUAACAUUGUCUGAAAAGUUUUGUUAGAACUACUGCGGAACCUCAAAAUCAGUAGAUUUGGAAGUGAUUCAAAGCUAAACUUUUUCCUUGGCCCUCCUUGUGUUCUAAUUGCUUGCAAGUGUAAUACUAGGAUGUCCAAGAUGCCAGUUUUUGCUUCUUUGUUAGUUGUCAGCUGCUUUUAUCAAAUUUCAGGCCAUUAUCCAACAAACACUAUAAAAAUGUUUGAACAAUUGGAUUUCAAACAUUUUCGUUUUGUGGAGUGGUGCUCACCAAGUGGUACAGCCCUAAGCAAGUGAACACAAACACAUUUAAGUGUAUUUUGUCUGAUUAGAUGUUAGCCAGUUAUGCUAUUUCAUUCAAAUGUCUGAAAAAAUCAAUUGACUAUUCCCUUUUCCUAAAGGGCAGAGACAGAUAAUCUCACUUCCAGAGAAAUGACUUGGAGAAAAAAAAGUGUUGGUCUUUUUGCUCUUUUGUAAUUAAAUCCGGAUGUACCUCAAAAGACUUAAGACUGUGGUGAUAAGAUGCUUUCCUCAGCAGAAAGGAGGGAAAAAAAACAACUGGAACUCAAAGCUUGAAAUUCUGUGGCAAAACAUGAGAUGUCCAGGAUUGGAGGUUGAAAAGAUUUCACUACAGUGUUCUGCAAUAGUUGGAGCAGAUAACUUUCAGUGUAGCCACAGCCAUGGACUCCAGAUUUCCAGAUUUUCAAGACCUGGACCUGGAACCCGAAAGAGCUUGUCACGAUGCGGCAGGAACACUGGAGGUAGAUUUUUUUUUAUUUUUGAAUUUUGGGACUGUUGACCUUGCUGUGAGAAAAGAGACAACGACUGAGCAAGCACUACCACCAGCACUGUUACUGGGAAUUAGAAGACCUGAGUUUCUGUCCAGACCCUCAGUGCAAACUGAGGAUGCUCCAUCCAAAGUGAAUUAUGUCCUGUGCCUCCUGAUUGCUGAGUGUUCACCUGGACCUUCUGACUACCUUCCCUGUGCUAUUCCAUCAGCCUACAGACCUGGUACCUGGAUUUUUGCCCGAGAUGAUUCCUACCACCUUACUACUGACGAAGACACCCAUUCCAGUGGACCACUGUGACCCAGGAGGCAUUCAGCCAUCAUGAUGUGGCCUUUACCUCCACUCCUGUCUUGUUCUACCCAGAUUCAGCACAGCCCUUUAUAGUGAAGUCAGAGUCCUCAAGCCAAAUAGCUAAAGCUGUUUUAUCACAACAAAGGCCUAGUUUGUUCCAUGAGUGUGCAUUUCAUUUCUUCAGUUAAAGCCUUCAGAGACACACAAUAAAUUUGGACCAGGGGAUUUUUUAGUUAUUAAUGCUCUCUGAAGAAAGGCAACAUCUUUUUGAGAGCAGCAUUGGACCACACCCCACAAUCUCAAAUGAUUGAAAUUCAUGAACAUCUAGGAUCCCGUGAAGGUCACUGGACCCUGUUUUUUCUACUUCAAAUCCUGUAGUAGCCUACUGAAUGAGAAAACAUAUUCUGACCCAUUGGGAUCAAAUCAAAGGCACAGUGAACUCCUCAUAGCAUCUUCUUUGGAAUUACUCAGGAACCAGAACUUUUUACACAAAUGUAAGAAAUUCUACCAAGGAGUCCCCUUACCUAACAGCAUCUCACAAGGCUGCACCAGAUUCCAGAAAAGGCUUCUCUUGAUACAUCAAGGUAGAACCUCUAUGCAUUUUGUGACCGACUUAUUCUUAGAUCAUUGGUUUUCCAAAGGCUUUGUGGCCAUGAAGCCCUUUGAGUGAAAACUGUGCAGAAGCCCAGAGUAAAAGUGAAGCUGCUCUGGAUGAAGUAGUGAAGCAAGAGUAGGGGCCUGAAUCCUGCUACAACUAUCUUCCUUUACCACCGUGGUGACACCUAAGGGGACUUCCUUACAACACCUUGAACUCUUCCGAACACAGUUUGAAAACCACUGCCCCAGACAGCAAUAUGUUUGACCUGAAUGGCAUUCCAAUCUUUUCUGUACCUCCACUCAGCACAGUUCAUGUUCAGUAGAUGCUGAACAUUCUUAGAAAUACUGUGUGUGAACUUAGAAAAGUGCAAGAAGACAGGCAUGUCUUUGACCCCAGGAAUGAUCAUUUGCUGAAGAUGGUGUCAAGUGAACCUAGAUUAACAGCCCUCCACUCCAGAUGGAUAUCCAGUGAUUCCUAGAAUGGGAUAUAGCCAGAGAACAAUUCUAUGCACCCUACACUGACAGACUCCCUUAAGCAACACCAGAUGCUCUACUGGUACUUGAAGUACAUGACUUUGAAGUCUUGACCCUCCAUGAAUACCUGAAUUAUCAGCAAGCGGGUUUUGAAGCUGGUGCCUCAUUGAGGCCAUAUUAGAGCAACUUGUACAUUUGACCUCUUGUUAUCAGCCAUGGUACUCUACUUCGUGUGCAAGAGAUAACUAUGAAAGCCAAAUUCAAAUACUGGCAACAUUUCCUAAAGGGGCUCAAUAUCUAUCAUUCGUCUUCUUUUCCAAACUACACAUCACUGUAUGACUCAACCAGUAGCAGUUAUAUUGCCCCUUGGUUUUUAUUCAGUUUAACUACUGUUUCCAAGAUAAAUGAGCUAAUAAGCUUU